CUACGGGGCGCUGCAGUGGGGAAUAUUGCACAAUGGAGGAAACUCUGAUGCAGCAACGCCGCGUGGAGGAUGACACUUUUCGGAGCGUAAACUCCUUUUAUAUAGGAAGAAGGUGACGGUACUAUAUGAAUAAGCGCCGGCUAACUCCGUGCCAGCAGCCGCGGUAAUACGGAGGGCGCAAGCGUUACGCGGAAUCACUGGGCGUAAAGAGCGUGUAGGCGGAUUAAAAAGUCAGAAGUGAAAUCCUAUAGCUUAACUAUAGAACUGCUUCUGAAACUCUUAAUCUAGAAUAUGGGAGAGGUAGAUGGAAUUUCUGGUGUAGGGGUAAAAUCCGUAGAGAUCAGAAGGAAUACCGAUUGCGAAGGCGAUCUACUAGAACAUUAUUGACGCUGAGACGCGAAAGCGUGGGGAGCAAACAGGAUUAGAUACCCGUGUAGUC
This 439-nucleotide ribosomal RNA is filed under the name uncultured bacterium. RNAcentral describes it as "partial 16S ribosomal RNA". It matches the Rfam family "Bacterial small subunit ribosomal RNA", at positions 339 to 795 of the family's 1533-position model. The record is from RNAcentral.